GCCUUGUACACACCGCCCGUCACACCAUGGGAGUCGGUAACACCCGAAGCCUGUAGUCUAACCGCAAGGGGGACGCAGUCGAAGGUGGGAUUGAUGACUGGGGUGAAGUCGUAACAAGGUAUC
This 123-nucleotide ribosomal RNA is filed under the name uncultured bacterium. RNAcentral's name for it is "partial 16S ribosomal RNA". It matches the Rfam family "Bacterial small subunit ribosomal RNA", at positions 1378 to 1500 of the family's 1533-position model. The record is from RNAcentral.